GUCAGUGUGACCCAGGGUCUCCCGGUCCUGGUCAUCCCUGCUGGCUCUAGGAGAGGGGUUCAGUGCCCUGGGGACCCCCCUGCCCCCUGCUUUGCCAUGGCUGCAGCAAAUGAUAUGCAAGGCCGAUUCUAGCGGGAGGUGCAGGCACACAGGGCCCACCCCGCCUGUCCACCUGCCGGGGCCAUGCUGAGCUGCCAGCAGCCCAGAGGGGAGGCACGGACACUUCUGGGGAGCAGUUCUCGGGGGCCUCCCUACUCCCCUCCCUGUCCUCACUCCUGCAACCUCCGGGUGCUAAAAUCCGCGGAUCCUCGAAGGGCUGAUGACCUCGAAGCCUUCGCGGUUUGGAACCUGUCAGAAAGAUGUCUCUGCUUGGCUGUCAGAGUCACCUUGCCCAUUCAUUCAUUCAAUCAUUCAUUCAGCUCUGUUCCCUAUCCUUAGGGAGCCAGUGAGUGCCAUGCCUGCUAGGACUCCCAGACCCCCUUCUGCGGAGGCUGCUGUACACACAGCCCCAUUUUCCAGAUGGAAAAGUGAGCUUGGAGGGGGGCACUGUUCCCAGGAGCUAGCCCACGCGCCUCCCAGCAGCUCCCCCUCCCCACCGGUGUGAGCUGCACUUCCUCCUGACUCUCUGGUUAUUAAUAGCACAGAGCGCAGAAGUCAGUCAACCACAGCCCGAGCAAGGACGGUGGGAAACUGACCAGAUGCGUCCCGGAGCCUCCAUCAGCACCAGCGCUGCCGCUCUGCGAAGUGCCGGCGGCAGAGCACCCCGGUCAGCCUCAGGAAGCACCCCAAGUGGGUCCGUGGAUCAGCUUCCCCGGGCUGGCCAGAGAGGAGCCACGUGUGGAGAGGGACGUGAAACCCACACGGCAGCAGCUCUGCCCGCGCGUUCGUUCAGAAACAUUUUCCAUGAAAUGCGGAAGUCUGAAGACGGUAUACCCUCCGGGGCUGGCCGGGCCGUGGCAGCGUGGACACCUGGCCUCACCCCUCCACCGUGCAGGAAGGCGGCUCUGCCUCUCGGGGAGCAGCGCUGGGCCAAAGCGUGCCUGGUGGUCCUCGUGCGGCUUCCAGACGUCACCCCUGACGUCCUGGUGGGGGACAAGCAAGGGGCAGAGGCUCUGGAGAGGAGACCCCAUUUCCUGUGGGGCUGAGCUGGCUCUCGUGCCCGGGACCCCAACAGCUCCGGUGACUGCUGUUUUGGUCACAGAAGAUAAUGACCAACUACAU
Oryctolagus cuniculus (rabbit) is the source of this 1221-nucleotide non-coding RNA. The record is from RefSeq and is a predicted model, not a curated record. Lineage: Eukaryota; Metazoa; Chordata; Mammalia; Lagomorpha; Leporidae.